UAAGCCUGAAAUUGAACAAGUAUACCCGUUGAACUUAAGCAUAUUAUUAGGCGGAGGAAAAGAAACUAAC
Molecule: ribosomal RNA, 70 nt
Filed under: Monocystis sp. 10_03
Lineage: Eukaryota; Apicomplexa; Conoidasida; Eugregarinorida; Monocystidae
Description: partial 28S ribosomal RNA
Rfam family: Eukaryotic large subunit ribosomal RNA
Source: RNAcentral